This is a non-coding RNA of Streptococcus pneumoniae 2070335, 73 nucleotides long. The record is from Rfam. NCBI's taxonomy places the organism in Bacteria, Bacillati, Bacillota, Bacilli, Lactobacillales, Streptococcaceae.
GAAAAACGGAUAUAAUGUAUUUGAAGAUGUUGCUAGCAGAAAGAACUUAAUAAGCUUCUUAACAUCGCAGUGA